GACGAACGCUGGCGGCGUGCUUAACACAUGCAAGUCGAACGGAAAGGCCCUGCUUGCAGGGUGCUCGCGUGGCGAACGGGUGAGUAACACGUGGGUGAUCUGCCCCUUACUUUGGGAUAAGCCUGGGAAACUGGGUCUAAUACUGGAUAGGACCAUGCUGUAGGCGGUGUGGUGGAUAGAUUAGUUUCGGUAAGGGAUGAGCUCGCGGCCUAUCAGCUUGUUGGUGGGGUAAUGGCCUACCAAGGCGUCGACGGGUAGCCGGCCUGAGAGGGUGGACGGCGACAUUGGGACUGAGAUACGGCCGAGACGCCUACGGGAGGCAGCAGUGGGGAAGAAUGCACAAUGGGGGCAAGCCGGAUGCAGCGACGCCGCGUGGGGGAUGACGGCCUUCGGGUUGUAAACUCCUUUCAGCCAUGACGAAGCCCUGGUGGUGACGGUAGUGGUAGAAGAAGCACCGGCUAACUACGUG
Molecule: ribosomal RNA, 469 nt
Filed under: uncultured bacterium
Lineage: Bacteria
Description: partial 16S ribosomal RNA
Rfam family: Bacterial small subunit ribosomal RNA
Source: RNAcentral